UGCUGCUUCGCUGACGAGUGGCGGACGGGUGAGUAAUGUCUGGGGAUCUGCCCGAUGGAGGGGGAUAACCACUGGAAACGGUGGCUAAUACCGCAUAACGUCGCAAGACCAAAGUGGGGGACCUUCGGGCCUCACACCAUCGGAUGAACCCAGAUGGGAUUAGCUAGUUGGAGGGGUAACGGCCCACCAAGGCGAUGAUCAGUAGCCGGUCUGAGAGGAUGAACGGCCACAUUGGGACUGAGACACGGCCCAGACUCCUACGGGAGGCAGCAGUGGGGAAUCUUCCGCAAUGGACGAAAGUCUGACGGAGCAACGCCGCGUGAGUGAUGACGGCCUUCGGGUUGUAAAGCUCUGUUAAUCGGGACGAAAGGCCUUUUUGCGAAUAGUGAGAAGGAUUGACGGUACCGGAAUAGAAAGCCACGGCUAACUACGUGCCAGCAGCCGCGGUAAUACGUAGGUGGCAAGCGUUGUCCGGAAUUAUUGGGCGUAAAGCGCGCGCAGGCGGAUCAGUCAGUCUGUCUUAAAAGUUCGGGGCUUAACCCCGUGAUGGGAUGGAAACUGCUGAUCUAGAGUAUCGGAGAGGAAAGUGGAAUUCCUAGUGUAGCGGUGAAAUGCGUAGAUAUUAGGAAGAACACCAGUGGCGAAGGCGACUUUCUGGACGAAAACUGACGCUGAGGCGCGAAAGCCAGGGGAGCGAACG
Molecule: ribosomal RNA, 700 nt
Filed under: uncultured bacterium
Lineage: Bacteria
Description: bacterial SSU rRNA
Rfam family: Bacterial small subunit ribosomal RNA
Source: RNAcentral